This 253-nucleotide ribosomal RNA is filed under the name uncultured bacterium. RNAcentral describes it as "partial 16S ribosomal RNA". It matches the Rfam family "Bacterial small subunit ribosomal RNA", at positions 524 to 776 of the family's 1533-position model. The record is from RNAcentral.
UACGUAGGGCGCAAGCGUUAUCCGGAAUUAUUGGGCGUAAAGAGCUCGUAGGCGGCCUGUCGCGUCUGCCGUGAAAGUCCGGGGCUCAACUCCGGAUCUGCGGUGGGUACGGGCAGACUAGAGUGAUGUAGGGGAGACUGGAAUUCCUGGUGUAGCGGUGAAAUGCGCAGAUAUCAGGAGGAACACCGAUGGCGAAGGCAGGUCUCUGGGCAUUAACUGACGCUGAGGAGCGAAAGCAUGGGGAGCGAACAGG